Molecule: transfer RNA, 26 nt
Filed under: Salmo trutta (river trout)
Lineage: Eukaryota; Metazoa; Chordata; Actinopteri; Salmoniformes; Salmonidae
Description: partial tRNA-Phe
Source: RNAcentral
GUUGGUGUAGCUUAACUAAAGCAUAA